AAUUUUGCGGCCGUCUUUAUUAG
This 23-nucleotide small nuclear RNA is filed under the name Arabidopsis thaliana (thale cress). RNAcentral describes it as "snRNA_09427". The record is from RNAcentral. Lineage: Eukaryota; Viridiplantae; Streptophyta; Magnoliopsida; Brassicales; Brassicaceae.